UUCAUCCACUCAUUCACCACUCACUUCUUUCAUUCACUCAUCUAUUUUUUCUCUCUCCUUUUACCUUUCCAUUUUCUUUUCUUUCCUUUUUCGAUUUUCCCUCUUGAUAAACAGCUAGCAAGCCUCUUGGAGUAGAAGCAAUUGAGCAUCUUGGAGGCCUUUGACCGGUAGAACAAAGUAGAGAGAAAGAGACGAACGCUAGUCUGGCUUCGAAAAAACAUCAAAUUUGUCUUCUAGUUUCCCCGUCUACCUUUUAGUUUGUUUCGUGAUCAUAAACAUGAAUGAUUAUUAUUUUGAUGCUUCUAAUUUAAUUAAUAUGACUUAAAUUAUAUUUGUGUUAGAUUGAUUGUAUUUUAUCCACUUAAAUUGUUAAAAUUAUAUUUGUGUUAUUAUAGGCUUUGGUAGUUUGUCCAAUUAGAUAAAAUCAUGCCUAUGUUAUACUUGCAUUAUAAUUGUAAGGUAACAAUUGAAUUAAUUAUUAAUCAAAUUGAAAUUGUAAUUAAUUGAUAAAAUAUCUAAUUGAUACAUGUUUAAUCUUCUUACGUGUAAAAAUGGGUUAAAUUAGCAAUAGUAUUAAACAAUAUUCUUACCUUGCAUAACUUGUAAGAUUGUUGUGAUUAAUUUUUUUUUAAUACGAGAAUGUAUUGUUACUUCACUUUGUCUUAUACAUGCUUAUGAAAUUGAUUAAUUAGUUUAACAUAGAAAUAUGUUUGAAAUAUUGAUUAAUUGAGUAUGUAUGUGCAUUAGUUAACAAAAGACCAAGUUGCCAUGAAAUUAUUCGUAAUAGCAUGAACAUAGUUUUAAUAAUUCGAAGUUAAAUGAAUGAGAUUAAUCUAACACACUUAUGUCAUAUUGAUUAAAACGUACUAGAAAUUGUACUUGGAAUUAUAGUUUAAUUUUAAUUGUUUACUUAGAUUUAAUUUAUAUCUCACCUUUUCCAAAAAUAUCUUUUCCUCUACCAAAUUGCUUAAAUUUACAUUUCAUAAAUACUUGCUUGUAUAGUCCUUGUGGAUACAAUAACUCGACAUACUUGUCACUUGAUUGCUUGUUACGAUUGUAUACACUUGCACAUUUCUGUCGUUCCAAGUUUUUGGCAUCAUUGCCAAGGACUGUUUCAAAAGGCAUUAUUUGUGAAAUUGUUAAUUUUUUAUUUUGGUUUCUUUAUCUAUUAAAUUUUAAUUCCAUUAUUUUCCGUGAUUGUUUCAGGUGUUUAUGAGUAUUGAUCAAACCAUUGAUUUACUCCCUGUAGAUCCUAAAAUUGAUAGGACUUUUAGACAAAGGUGAAGACUAGCAACUCAAAGAAGGGCCGGAGAGAUGAACCUUGAAAACCAAAAUCAAGGAAAUUGAGAAAUUUAUGCUCAAAAUCCUAUCCUUUUUGCUAAUGAUAGGGAUUGGGCCUUAAGAUAGUAUGUUGUAUAGCUUUUUCAUGAGCUUAAUAUAAGAAUUAGUAAGCCCGAGAUAAGGGCACAAUAAUUUGAGUUGAAGCUUGUUAUGUUUCAAAUGCUUCAGACAGUGGUGGAAUGCCUGCUGAAGAUCCUCACCUUCACCUCAGAUUGUUUAUGGAGGUGAGCGACUCCUUUAAAUUUGCAUGAAAUUUGGUUUUCACUAAAAGCUAGGUUCAAUAUCACUUUUGUAACACUCAAAAAAUCAUAAGGUUAGAAUUAAUAAAAUCAACAAGAAAUAAGCCUUAGUUUAGGAGGUUAAGAGCUUAGUAGAUUGUCUAGAGAGCCAAGAUUCAAGCCCCGCACUUUUCAUUUUUUCCCCUUUAUUUUUUCAGCAACUAAGGAUUAAAACGAACCUAGUAUAAGAAACAAAUGUGGUAGCAAAUGACUAAGAAUGAGUCUACUAGUUUAGUGGUAAUGCAUUGACACAAUUCUCUCUUAUCCCAAGUUCUAUCCACGCCAACCUUAUUUCUCCCUUUUAUUUUUUUUCUUAGUUUCGGCUAUAAGGAUUAUUUGCCAAAAUAGCCCUCUAAAAUUUACCUAAUAUUGCCAUUUGGUCCCUUUCCUAAUCAUAAUAGGAUUUUGGUUAUCUUUUCAAACCUAAUUAGAAUUUCUUUAUCUUUUCUUUAAAUACAUCUUUUUCAUUUAUUUCCUCGUUUCCUUUUUAUAAAAAUAUUCAUCUUUUUUUGAUAGAAAUUUUAUAUUUGAUUCCCAAACUCGAAUUCCACCCCGUUCAAUUCGUUCUUCGUAUUGUUUUAGUGUAACACAGUCAAAAUCCGUUUCUAACGUGCCAAGAUCGAUUAGAAUUCUUAUUUUUAAUUUCGUAGAAUCCUAGCAUUCUAAAAUAAAUAACGUUCUUGUCAAUCUUUCAAUCGAUUUCGAAUCUUUAAUGAACUUUCUCAAAAGCUUGAUAAACUCAAUAUAUCUUGAACAUCGAUAAUAAUUCUUGCGUUUCUGUUGAUCGAAAGACUCAUUAUAAGUAUUUCGGAUCAGAUUUAGACGUGAGGACCGUCGCUCAAGACCCCGAAAGUCAAGUGUGUGUUCUUUUAUAAUAAAAUCCAGGCAAAAUCAAACCAAACCUAGACCACACGGCUUGCCACACAGGCAUGUGGGUGGCCCGUGUGGACUACAUGACCAUAUGCCACUAAAACCCUAUGAUUUUCACUUCUCACACGACCUGGCCACACGACUGUGUCUACCCUGUAGCUUAAUUUUUGUAUUUUUCACACAGCUUGAGCCACCUACACGGCCAUAUGCCCUUGUUUAUUAAAUUUUAUAGUUUUGCCAAUAAUUUUAUGUUUUGUGCAGAUUAGUCCUUGAAUGGUCCCCGAACUAUUUUUAGUGCAUUAAUUUGUGCAAAUAAGUCCGUGAUAGUAUGAAUUAUGCUAGAAUUCAUGAUUAGAUUGACUGAAAUCAGAUGAUAUUUAUAUGUAUUUGCAUGAUUUAUGAACAAUACUUAUGCCUUUUGUAUCAGUAUUUGUAAUUGAACGUAUGGAGUGUCUUAUAUCAUUAAAUCAAUAAAAGAAAACAUGACUUCAACUACUAGGAUUGAGUUUUCACAAGCAUAUUAAUUGCUACUAAAUCAAACUAAUAUGAGCAUAUUGUUUACCACUGUAUUGUUUCGUUAAAGGCAUAUUAAAUGCUACUGUAUUGAUCUGUUAUGUGCAUAUUAAUUGCUACCAUAUGAAGUUGUUAUGAAUAUGCCAUAAUGCAUUGCAUGGGGUGAAACGUUAUGAAUGGAGAAAGUUGAUAAACUAUAAAAGUAACAUAUUUUAAUCUCAUUCUUAAUGCAUUUUUGGAUGAUUAAUUAUGUAAAUUAGUGAAUUUGAUGCUCCUAAUACUUUAAAUUCAUGUUUCUAUACUUAGGAGAGCACUUGGAAAUAAAAGGAGCGAAAAACGAGCCAAAAUCAAAUAAAUAGAGUUGUUUCUAGGAACCACACGAACUGGGAAUUCCCACACGGGCUGGCCACACGCCUGUGUGAACCGUACGAGCUAGCUACACACCCAUGUACCAGCCCGUGUCGAUAACGCAACCUGCCUCCCUUCUGCGCGGAAAAACCCAAUUUUUAGGUUUUCUAAGGAUUCUAAAGUCUAUAAAUAACAAUUAGAAGAUGACUUAAGGAGACAGAUAGAGAAGAUUAAAGAAAAGACUCGAAGAAUGCCAUCAGAAUCAUCUCGGAAGCGGAUCUCCUUCAAGAUUGAAGAUUUCCAUUUAAUUUUUUAGAAGCUUAUUUGGGUUUCUUUAUGUUUUGUUGUUAUCUUAACUUUGAGAUGUUUCUGUUUAGGAUUAUGAACUAAAUUCCCUAGAUACCUAGGGAAGAUGAAACGUAUGAUGAAUUGUAUUAUUUGAUUUCUGAUUUACAUGAUAAAUACUUGAUUCUUGUUCUCAAUUA
This 3835-nucleotide long non-coding RNA is filed under the name Gossypium raimondii (Peruvian cotton). Its description in RNAcentral is "long non-coding RNA (GRAI_LNC001071)". The record is from RNAcentral. Lineage: Eukaryota; Viridiplantae; Streptophyta; Magnoliopsida; Malvales; Malvaceae.